Molecule: ribosomal RNA, 458 nt
Filed under: uncultured bacterium
Lineage: Bacteria
Description: bacterial SSU rRNA
Rfam family: Bacterial small subunit ribosomal RNA
Source: RNAcentral
UACGGAAGGCAGCAGUGGGGAAUAUUGCACAAUGGGCGCAAGCCUGAUGCAGCCAUGCCGCGUGUAUGAAAAAGGCCUUCGGGUUGUAAAGUACUUUCAGUCGUGAAGGAAGGUGUUAAGGUUAAUAACCUUAGCAAUUGACGUUAGCGACAGAAGAAGCACCGGCUAACUCCGUGCCAGCAGCCGCGGUAAUACGGAGGGUGCGAGCGUUAAUCGGAAUUACUGGGCGUAAAGGGCACGCAGGCGGUUAAUUAAGUUGGAUGUGAAAUCCCCGGGCUUAACCUGGGAAUGGCAUUCAAGACUGGUUUAGCUAGAGUCUUGUAGAGGGGGUAGAAUUCCAUGUGUAGCGGUGAAAUGCGUAGAGAUGUGGAGGAAAUACCGGUGGCGAAAGGCGGCCCCCUGGACAAAGACUGACGCUCAUGUGCGAAAGCGUGGGGAGCAAACAGGGAUUAGAUACC